UCCAUAAUCACAUGGCAAAAUCAAAUAACAAAACGCAUCAAAAAUGAAUGGACAAGAACUGUCAUAUUCCUGACUUGGUACAGGCAUUUUCAAAUGUAGAAAAUGGUGGAUUGAACCUGGUUUUAUAGCUAGCUAAACCUCUCACUUGUAUGACAGUCGCAUCAAAUUCCAUUAUAUUGUAACCGAUGCGUGAACAAAACAAACAGACACAAUAGGUAAAAAUGUCAAAAAUAGGGGUACAGCAGUCAACAUUGUGUUAUCAUCUUAAUCACUAUAAAAACAACAAAUGUAACGAAGAAGCACAAAAAGGCAUACAUCAAAUUAACAUCCUCAUUUUGAUUAUAUUAUACGAUUUUAUUUGUCUAUGUAAAAUGCACCCAUCAAGGAAGGAGGGUUUUGAGUACUGGUGAAAAUUGCGCGUUUGAAAUUCGCACA
RNAcentral lists this long non-coding RNA (435 nucleotides) under Mytilus galloprovincialis (Mediterranean mussel). The record is from RNAcentral. Lineage: Eukaryota; Metazoa; Mollusca; Bivalvia; Mytilida; Mytilidae.